This 77-nucleotide ribosomal RNA is filed under the name Tubakia dryina. RNAcentral's name for it is "partial 18S ribosomal RNA". It matches the Rfam family "Eukaryotic small subunit ribosomal RNA", at positions 1755 to 1831 of the family's 1831-position model. Lineage: Eukaryota; Fungi; Ascomycota; Sordariomycetes; Diaporthales; Tubakiaceae. The record is from RNAcentral.
UUCUCCAAACUCGAUCAUUUAGAGGAAGUAAAAGUCGUAACAAGGUCUCCGUUGGUGAACCAGCGGAGGGAUCAUUG